Molecule: long non-coding RNA, 474 nt
Filed under: Vitis vinifera (wine grape)
Lineage: Eukaryota; Viridiplantae; Streptophyta; Magnoliopsida; Vitales; Vitaceae
Description: long non-coding RNA (VVIN_LNC004932)
Source: RNAcentral
GGAUGAGGCUUCAUCCUGGAGGAUAUGUGAGUUUGAAUAUCCACCGUGUUUUACAUUGAAUCUAGAAUCACAAAAUCAAUUCAAUUACAAUUGAUGAUAUUAAAGGUCAAUAGGUGUAUUUAUUUUAUUUUUGUGAUAUUGAAGGUUAGUAUAUUUACUGUCCUAUGAAAAAAUCUUUUAAUUUUUUGGUAUUUGUUACUUAAUUUUAUAUUAAUUUUGUGUUUAUUCUACUAGGUAUCUAAGAAAUACAUCAAGAAGAAGACAAUGAUGCAGAAACAAAGAUCACCUCUUAUGAAGAUAAUGUUGUACUUUUCAAUUUAAGUUUGUAUAUUAUUUUAAUUGAAUGUUUUUAGCUAAGUUUUGUUUCUAUAUAGAAAAUAGAGAGGUACUUGAAAAACAUUUAUGGAAUUGUGUUCUUAAUAUUUAAUGUAUAUGUAAUGAUUUUUUUUCUUAAAUAGUAAUUUAUUUAAAUUA